Molecule: ribosomal RNA, 297 nt
Filed under: Triticum aestivum (bread wheat)
Lineage: Eukaryota; Viridiplantae; Streptophyta; Magnoliopsida; Poales; Poaceae
Description: partial small subunit ribosomal RNA
Source: RNAcentral
AUGACAGCGCUAAAUCUUCCAGUUGAGGUCAUGAAAAAGAUUGAUUCCCUUCGACGUGAUUUCCUAUGGGCUGGGUGUGACAAGGUCACUGGUGGCAAUUGCAAGAUCAAUUGGGAGCAGGUGUGCAAGUCCAAGGUUCAUGGUGGCCUAGGUAUUUUGAUUCUGGACAAAUUUGCUACAGCUCUUAGAAUCCGCUGGCUUUCGGCAGAGUGGUUGGAUCCGGUCAAGCCUUGGGUUCAUCUGGGAAACCCAUAUGAUGAGAAUGAUAAAUAUAUCUUCGCGGCCACCACCAAGGUG